This 1070-nucleotide ribosomal RNA is filed under the name Bacillus sp. (in: firmicutes). Its description in RNAcentral is "bacterial SSU rRNA". It matches the Rfam family "Bacterial small subunit ribosomal RNA", at positions 376 to 1435 of the family's 1533-position model. Lineage: Bacteria; Bacillati; Bacillota; Bacilli; Caryophanales; Bacillaceae. The record is from RNAcentral.
CGAAAGUCUGACGGAGCAACGCCGCGUGAGUGAUGAAGGUUUUCGGAUCGUAAAGGCUCUGUUGUUAGGGAAGAACAAGUACCGUUCGAAUAGGGCGGUACCUUGACGGUACCUAACCAGAAAGCCACGGCUAACUACGUGCCAGCAGCCGCGGUAAUACGUAGGUGGCAAGCGUUGUCCGGAAUUAUUGGGCGUAAAGGGCUCGCAGGCGGUUUCUUAAGUCUGAUGUGAAAGCCCCCGGCUCAACCGGGGAGGGUCAUUGGAAACUGGGGAACUUGAGUGCAGAAGAGGAGAGUGGAAUUCCACGUGUAGCGGUGAAAUGCGUAGAGAUGUGGAGGAACACCAGUGGCGAAGGCGACUCUCUGGUCUGUAACUGACGCUGAGGAGCGAAAGCGUGGGGAGCGAACCAGGAUUAGAUACCCUGGUAGUCCACGCCGUAAACGAUGAGUGCUAAGUGUUAGGGGGUUUCCGCCCCUUAGUGCUGCAGCUAACGCAUUAAGCACUCCGCCUGGGGAGUACGGUCGCAAGACUGAAACUCAAAGGAAUUGACGGGGGCCCGCACAAGCGGUGGAGCAUGUGGUUUAAUUCGAAGCAACGCGAAGAACCUUACCAGGUCUUGACAUCCUCUGACAAUCCUAGAGAUAGGACGUCCCCUUCGGGGGCAGAGUGACAGGUGGUGCAUGGUUGUCGUCAGCUCGUGUCGUGAGAUGUUGGGUUAAGUCCCGCAACGAGCGCAACCCUUGAUCUUAGUUGCCAGCAUUCAGUUGGGCACUCUAAGGUGACUGCCGGUGACAAACCGGAGGAAGGUGGGGAUGACGUCAAAUCAUCAUGCCCCUUAUGACCUGGGCUACACACGUGCUACAAUGGACAGAACAAAGGGCAGCGAAACCGCGAGGUUAAGCCAAUCCCACAAAUCUGUUCUCAGGUUCGGAUCGCAGUCUGCAACUCGACUGCGUGAAGCUGGAAUCGCUAGUAAUCGCGGAUCAGCAUGCCGCGGUGAAUACGUUCCCGGGCCUUGUACACACCGCCCGUCGCACCACGAGAGUUUGUAACACCCGAAGUCGGUGAGG